Long non-coding RNA from Ooceraea biroi (clonal raider ant), 2739 nucleotides. RefSeq lists it as uncharacterized. The record is from RefSeq and is a predicted model, not a curated record. Lineage: Eukaryota; Metazoa; Arthropoda; Insecta; Hymenoptera; Formicidae.
GAGCGAUCGUUAGGGCAAUGACGCCACAAGUCACAAGGUUGUUGCAAUGGAAAGACGGACCGAAAAUGGCCGUUUUGGAAAUUUAUAUUUGUCACACACGCGUGCAAAUUGGCUCGGCUUCAAAUUGGCCGACGAAUAAUAUUCUCGCACAGGUAUAUCUCUUUUUUUUAGGCUAGAAAAUGCCACACAUAUUAUUAUAGAUAUUGUAUAACAGAUAAUAGACACAUACAUGAAAUAUAACGCAAAUUUUCAAAAUAAAACAAAAACCCCUUUAACAAACCACGAGCACGAGAACUGACAAUGAGAACGAUCGUUUUGAUGAUUAAUCGAUCGCGCACAUGGGCAAUUUACGGAAUCACUUGAUAGUUACGGCUUACAUCCGCUGCCGCGAAAUUGUAGAUACGGAACCACAGUCUCGAGCCUCUCGUUGCUAAACCCUCCUGGGAAAGGAUAAAGAAACACUUUGUCGCUUUGGCCAUACUACGCUUGCUGCUACCCUUACCUGCACUGCACCGUCACCGAAUAUCGAGAAAAAAGCGCGUUCCUUUGAUCCACGUGAAAGGAUGUAAGUCGCGAGAAGUCGAGAGGAGGUGACCUAGUGAUGUCAUGCAACUGCGGAAAAUUUGCAAGAGUGGGCACAUUGCCAGAUACGAUUGCACGAAAAGUGUGACCGUACGUUCGUCACGGUAUCCCGAAUCCGCGGCUGGCGGCGAUGUUUCAAAGAAAAAAAUCUGCGUUUCCUCGAUAACCUUCGAUAAUCGAAUAAUUUAUUUAACGUAUUUAAUUUGUUAUGGAACGAUUGGCGAUUGAUCGAUAUGACGAAUAAUAUCAAUGUGAUUGAUCGAUACGACGAUGAGGCCAUUGAGGCCUUAACGCGUAAUUAAAAUCUGCACGCCACGUCGGAUAAGGAGCCGCGGUAAGCGCGCGUAUAAUUCAUUGGGCGAAGCCGAGCACGCAUCCAGGAAAGCUGCUCCCUUUCCAGAGGAUAAUCGAAAACUCCGAAAAUACGCGUUCAUUGAACUUGCAUGGUGUAUCGCGUGUAUGUACUUAACGUUAUCACCAGGGGAACAAAUAUCGUAUCCAAAUGAGUUCCGAGUCAAUAUUAAUCGUGGUAAUAUAUCUCGAACAAUCGCUCCAAGAAAUUCAAUUUUACAAUCUUUAUCUUGUCUCUACUCUUUAGCGUUUUAGCAUAAUGAUUCGUCUUUACGAUGCGAAAUCAGCGAAUAUCUUGCACGGUUGCAGAAAUAUCGUAAUUCUCGUCGUAACUUUCGUCAUACAGACCGCAAAGACUCUCUCUCUCUCUCUCGAAACGGGACGCUGUACGAGUCACGUGCGCACAAGUCCGCGCACACCCACUGAAUCGACCAAUCGCAACGACCGACGCUUUCCUGUCGUCGCAUUUUCGCAAAGACGACUCGAGUUUCCGAGAAGGUAGACACGUGCUCUUAUCCUGUCCUGUCGGGAUGACGAAACAUUCGUCAUCUCGUGCCACACGAUUGUCGCGAGAGAGAACCCGCGCAAUCUACGGAUUUUUGAAAGAUGUCUCACGGGAAGAAUUUAAAGCGUGCGUUCUCAGCCGAGAACCCCUCUCGUCGUCAGUUCCGAUCGAUAUGCCUGCCCUGACAGACUUACGUCAUCGUACGUCAUAGACGCACGUCCGAAAAUGAGAACCCACCUGUUGAGAGUGCUGUGACGCGGUACGAAUACGUUGCAUAAUAUUUUGUCAAAAUUACACGCGGCACGAUACGUGAACGGACGAAUGGGAAUAGUCAGUCUCGCAUCACGCGGUUAACAGACUAUCGAGGAUCACCGCAUAUAUCGUGUUGUACGCGUCUGUUAAUUAGUCGGAAAACGCACUACGAGACAUAUCAGCUCGAACGUACAAGUGCUCGGAAUUAACUCGGGUCAAAUGCACCCGAAUGCACCACAUGUAGCAACGGACGAACGCAGCUCACGUGUUACGUCAAUCGCGGACAAGUCGACUUGCGUUCGCAAUAGCGUAAACGGUAACGGAAGAGAGAAAAAUAUCAAAGGAAACAAGAGAAGGAAAGAGAGAGUCACCGCGUUAUUUGUAAUCUUGUGACAUUUCGCACUUUUUAUCAGCUAAAGUUGCCAAAAAAGAAAGCAAAGAGAUGAAUUUUGUCUACGCCACUGGUUGCUACGCCAAUGGUUGCAACGAACGAAUAUUGAUCGAUAUUGAUCACGAUCACAAGGAUCGUAUGAACCGUGAUAUAAGAGGAUCAUCGUGCACAAGACACGAAAUGACAUGAUCGCAAUGGUGGCACUCUGCCGCGCGGUCCCCGACCGCGAGAGAGAGCAGGUUACUCGUGCAAUCAUUUUUUUCAGAAGUAAAAAUUACUCGAGAGCUCGUCGAGAGCUCGUUGUUCGUUUCGUUACUCGAAAGACAAAUUAAACGAAGGAAAUGCAGAAAGAAUUUUGAAGCUGCGCGAUGCAUGAAAUUCUUCUCGAGAGCUCGAUGUGAUAAUUAUCUCGAUGUUUGUUCGCGCUCCUGGGAAAAUUCCUGCGAGUGCAACGUCGUGCGCGAGCACGAUCCGCGUUUACACAUCCAUUAAAACAAUUGCCAAUGAAUGACGGGUGUUUUUCUCGACGAUGAGCGAAUACCACGGGAAAUCGCGUACCUGCUCUCGUCGUUACAGACGAGCUUUCUCUAUUUCGAUACUCGUUUAUCGAAAUCAAUUUAGCAUUCUUUUCGUUGCUUAAUAAAGAAUAUGUAUUAUG